RNAcentral lists this ribosomal RNA (800 nucleotides) under uncultured bacterium. RNAcentral's name for it is "bacterial SSU rRNA". It matches the Rfam family "Bacterial small subunit ribosomal RNA", at positions 8 to 801 of the family's 1533-position model. The record is from RNAcentral.
AGAGUUUGAUCCUGGCUCAGAUUGAACGCUGGCGGCGUGCUUAACACAUGCAAGUCGAUCGGUAACAGGUGUAGCAAUACAUGCUGACGAGGGGCGGACGGGUGAGGAACGCUUGGGAAUCUGCCUAUCAGCGGGGGACAACCCGGGGAAACUCGGGCUAAUACCGCAUACGCUCUACGGAGGAAAGCCGGGGACCGCAAGGCCUGGCACUGAUAGAUGAGCCCAAGCCGGAUUAGCUAGUUGGCGGGGUAACGGCCCACCAAGGCGACGAUCCGUAGCUGGUCUGAGAGGACGAUCAGCCACACCGGAACUGAGACACGGUCCGGACUCCUACGGGAGGCAGCAGUGGGGAAUAUUGGACAAUGGGCGAAAGCCUGAUCCAGCGACGCCGCGUGGGUGAAGAAGGCCUGCGGGUUGUAAAGCCCUUUCGGUAGGGACGAAAGCUCUCGACCUAACACGUCGGGAGGUUGACUUAACCUACAAAAGAAGCACCGGCUAACUCUGUGCCAGCAGCCGCGGUAAUACAGAGGGUGCGAGCGUUAAUCGGAAUUACUGGGCGUAAAGCGCACGUAGGCGGCUUGGUAUGUCGGGUGUGAAAUCCCCGGGCUCAACCUGGGAACUGCAUCCGAAACUGCCUUGCUCGAGUAUGGGAGAGGGAAGUGGAAUUUCCGGUGUAGCGGUGAAAUGCGUAGAUAUCGGAAGGAACAUCAGUGGCGAAGGCGACUUCCUGGACCAAUACUGACGCUCAGGUGCGAAAGCGUGGGGAGCAAACAGGAUUAGAUACCCUGGUAGUCCACGCC